Mytilus californianus (California mussel) is the source of this 1883-nucleotide long non-coding RNA. RefSeq lists it as uncharacterized. The transcript is spliced from 3 exons. The record is from RefSeq and is a predicted model, not a curated record. Lineage: Eukaryota; Metazoa; Mollusca; Bivalvia; Mytilida; Mytilidae.
UAUUUCAUUAAGAAUAAAUUAGAAUUGGUGAAAUGAGAUUGCGCAAAAUUCAUACAUUUAUGACGAAUAAAAUUUUGGAAAAAAUGUGUUUAUAAGCUCUAAGUGAUUCGGACUGCUAAAUAAAAUUGAAAGUUAUUCCAGUGGUGCUAGACUUGAUUUUAUUUCUAAAAGGAUAAAAUUUGACAGCCAGGUUUGAAUAAUUAUGAACUGGAAGCUUCUUGGAAUCGCCAUAAUGUGUUGCCUUUUGAACGGAUUAUCAACUCAAAAAAUAUUUCCAAGAGCACGACGACAAAUGAGUGAACGUUGGUUAGAUCAUUAUAGAACCUGGGUGGCCUUAAAUGCUUUAAAUGCCACGGAUUAUAGAGUGUGUGGGAAUGUGAUAGGGUGUGGAUUAGUGGAUAUUGUUAAAAGUGGGAAAAGAAAACGGAGUAACCCCGCUAUUGACCAGCUUGUUUUUGAAAGACUCAAAUCAAGCAAAGGCCUACAAAAGAGAGGUGAAGAAAGUAUGAAGAAUGAUAUUUACCAAGAUCUAUUAUCCAUCAUGAGAAAGAAUAGAAACGUAUUUGAAACAUUACCAAAUGCUCAAAUUAAUAAUGAACAAAAUAACAGGUCAUUCCUUGAUAGAAUAACAGCAAAGAAUAUACCGUAUUUGGAUAGAAAUUCACAUUCCAGUUAUAACCAAUUGGUGCGAAGGUCAUUAGAUAAUAACAUUCCAAAAUUAGCUGGUCGGCGUUCUAACAUCAACGAAGAGAUUAGCGACAUCGGUGAUCUCUCUGACAAAAAAAUGCGGCUAACUUUGAUGGCUUCACUUCUAUCCAAACCAAAUUUAUAGUUUCAAUCGUUGUUCAUUAUUGUCACUACUCAAAUUGUUAUUUGUCAACCAUAUUUUCAUUUCUCUAAGUUGUCCAUCUUCAGAGAGAAUUACAUUAUAAAGAUUCGCAAUAGAAAACAAUUUAGUCUGGGAAGAUAUGGUUUAAUUAUUAGUUGAAAUUGGCUUUGGACUAUAUUUUAGUAACUGCCAGAACUCUUAGUUCGGUACGAUUUGCCUUUUGUCUUCUUCGAGUUUUAUGUUUGUGCUUCGUGUCGAUCUGACGAGUCAAGCCCUAUCCAAAUGACUUUUACAGUUUGUUCUUAUGUUAUGUUGCAAAACCACUGUUCAAGGUUAGGAGAGGGUAGAGCGAUCAGAAGCAUUUUAAACAUCGCCACAUCCUGUACAUGUCUGUCCCAAGUCAGUAGUCUGUAAUUAAAUGUUUUUCUUGAUUGCUGUCUACCAUUUGUCUUUCUCGUUUAUUGUUUUUAUCAUAAAUCAGUCCGUUGGUUUGAAGUAACUUCAUUUGAGCUGUUUCACAUUUUGUUCUGCCGAGCAUUUUUGGCGGUAUGUGUAUUGCUCAUUGUUGAAGGGUGUAUGGUGACCUAUAUAGAUGCGUCCAUCCUCGUCAUGUUGUCACUGGCGGAUAUUUUUUUCAUUGGCAAUCACACCACAUCUCUGUAAUUUUAUAUAAAGACAAGUUCAAUAGAUUGCUGAGACAUUGUCUAAUCUAAGAAAAAGAGUUUAAUCAAAUGUUUAAAUAACAAUUUGUUGUUGGUGCAAUAUGUGAAAAAAAAUAUUUGAUAUAUAAUUUCUGUUAUCCUUUUAUAUACAUAUAUUAUAACACUGUUCAUGUUAGGGUGUUUAACUUUAUAAAUGCUUUUUCGGCGCAUAGCAUGACUGAUAUAUUAUCAAGUGGUAAUAAAUAAUCAAAUAUCACCCCGAAAAAAAAAACAUGAACAAAGCAAUUAUAUUACCGGAUGAUAAACUCUCGAAUCUAUCAAAGGACACCCUUAAACGAAUCUGUUAUUGUUUUAUAAAUUGUAAAAGAAAUAAAAUAUUUUAAAACUGUCAA